Molecule: unclassified non-coding RNA, 329 nt
Filed under: soil metagenome
Description: partial contains 5.8S ribosomal RNA, internal transcribed spacer 2, and large subunit ribosomal RNA
Rfam family: 5.8S ribosomal RNA (bases 1-120)
Source: RNAcentral
GAUGAAGAACGUAGCGAAAUGCGAUAAGUAAUGUGAAUUGCAGAAUUCAGUGAAUCAUCGAAUCUUUGAACGCACAUUGCGCCCCUUGGUAUUCCGAGGGGCAUGCCUGUUCGAGCGUCAUUAUAACCCCUCAAGCUCAGCUUGGUGUUGGGGCCUGCUGCACUGGCAGCCCUUAAAAUCAGUGGCGGCGCCAUCUGGCUCUAAGCGUAGUAAUUCUUCUCGCUAUGGAGUCCUGGUGGAUGCUUGCCAUCAACCCCCAAUUUUUCUAUGGUUGACCUCGGAUCAGGUAGGGAUACCCGCUGAACUUAAGUAUAUCAAUAAGCGGAGGA